AACAGUGCAGGUGGAGUAAUUAAACACACUUUGAUGACCAGGCUGUUAACCCUCUGACUCGGAAAGACUUGCUAUUUUGCCCCAAAUCCACUGAUUAUAAAGUAUAGAGAGAGAAAGCCGCGCGCCGCGGUCUCUGUCUGUCUUUGUUUACAUCCGUCUUUGGUGUCGGCCCAACAUCCAAUCAAAUUAGGGCCACGUUUGAUUGAUGUGACAGUCCAACCAAUCAAAUUGCAGAAAAACAUAGUCCCGCCUCCAUUUAAAAGCGCGAGUUCCUGUUUGCGGGUGUUUUUAUUUCUGGCCUAAAAGUUUAGAGAUCGUCCACAACAAACAGAGCAUGUGGAUAUAAGGAUUACUCACAGAGAUUCAACAACAACCAACUUCAUCUGACUGUAGGAGCAGCAAAAUCAAGUGACACGCUGACGAGGAUGUCUCUAGGAUGACGUCAGGAAAUGGGCGGCAUCCUCAAGGAGCGAGAGGCGGGGCUUCAGGGAUCGAGUUCUUUUACUUCCGGGUUUAUCACAUCUGCAGGAAACAUGGGUUUAAGUGAGGACACAGGGACUGCCAAGACUGGGAAUUGAACUACUGACCAACUCUAGAGACCACAUAAGAGAGGAGAAAGUGAGAGAUUAGGCUUGAGUUAAAGUGUGUUGAAGAGCAAUUCCGUAGAGGAGAGAACGAGCAGCAUCACAUGGAAAUAGUGAAAGUGGCAGAUUAUCAUGGAAACACGCUGACUUCAGAAAAACAGCAGAAUUUUCAGCUGGAACUGGAAUAGGAGAUACGAGCUCGGGAAACGCAAAGCUCACAUAGAGUGGAGGAGACACCAGAUGGUGGGGAUUAUUCCAGACUAAAAUGCUCUGGGAUCCACAGAGAGGCAAGCGAGGCCGCAAACAUCAACUGUUACAGAACCCAUCUGCCAGAAACAGACCUAAAGAAGUUGUAGGCCCACCAUCAACAUGAGGAUCAAACACUGUCUGGACACAGACCCACAACGGCCUGUUUUCAUGUUAACAUGAUAAUGGGUUAAACCAAAGAUCAGAUUCUGAUGAUCUGGAUGAGGAACACAACAAAGACUGAUUGGACUGCAUCAUUACUCUGACAUCUACAAAGACCAUGAAAGCUUAAAAAAGUGUAUUUUAUAAUGAAAACUUUAACAAGCAGAACUGAUGCUCAACUAGUUUGUAUAAAGUGUCAGAUAACUGAGAAUAAAGAUAAUAAAACAUAUAUAUAUCACCAAAAGAAAGGCAGCCACAAAGAGGAUUAGGGCCACCAGAAAAAGAAAGAAAUAAUACAUUUAUGAGAGAAAAGUCAUAUUCUCAUAAAGUCAGAAAAUGAUGAGGAAAAAAGUUGAUUUUUUUUUUUAGGGAAAAAAGUUGCAAAACUAUAUAAAAAUUUUGGAAAUUAUGAGAAUAAAGUUGUAUUUUUUUAAGAAAAAAAAAUAAACUGAUAAGAAAAAAAGUUGCGCUUUUAAAAGCAUAAGACUAUGACAAAAAUUAUAAGAAUAAAGUUGCAAUUUUACGAGAAUAAAGUCGGAAUUUUUGCAAAUAAAGUUUUAAAAUGAAAAGAAAAAA
Oryzias melastigma (Indian medaka) is the source of this 1568-nucleotide long non-coding RNA. RefSeq lists it as uncharacterized. NCBI's taxonomy places the organism in Eukaryota, Metazoa, Chordata, Actinopteri, Beloniformes, Adrianichthyidae. The transcript has 3 exons. The record is from RefSeq and is a predicted model, not a curated record.